UGGUUGGAAGCAGGAGGCAAAAGGAGCUGGAGAUAAUCAAGGAAGUUAGAGAAAUGGUUAUGAAUGGAGCAAUAACGCGUAAUAGUUUGGUUCCUCCACAGCUUAACAAGGAACAUAGCACACAUAUUGAAGAGGAAGUGAGAAGAAUCAAGAGGGAACAUCCCGAAGAUGAUGGUGCAAUAGAAAAUGAUAGAGUUAAAGGUUAUCUUAAGGUCACUCGUGCAUUUGGAGCUGGAUUUCUCAAACAGGUUAACAUUAUUAACAUAUAAGCUACGACACGUGACAAAUUCUUGAUCCUCUCUUCGGAUGGGUUGUAUGAAUAUUUCUCUAACCAAGAAGCCAUUUUCGAGGUUGAAUCUUUCAUCUCUGCUUUUCCUGAAGGCGAUCCAGCUCAACACUUGAUUCAGGAGGUCCUCCUACGUGCUGCCAACAAAUAUGGUAUGGAUUUUCAUGAACUGUUGGAAAUACCACAAGGAGAUCGUCGGAGGUAUCAUGAUGAUAUCUCUGUGAUUGUUAUCUCACUUGAAGGAAGAAUAUGGAGAUCGUCCAUGUGAAUAUUGUUAUUAUUUUUUUCAUGAAUUGAAUCCUUUGAAGAACUAAUUUCAAUAACUCGGUUUGUUUUUUUCCUUUUCCAAUUUGAAUUUUUCUCACAAUAUUUUUUAUUUGAUGUAUUUAUUUUUACCUAAAUAGUUUUGUGAACAAAAAGCGAACCAAAGUGGGCAUAUACAUAUCUUUGGCUUUUCUUGGUUUCCUUGUAAAUCAAAUCAUUUUCUCUUCGCUUGAUAUAAUAGAACUUUAUCAAAAACCGCAAGUAUUCUUUAUAUCUUAUAUUCUAGGUUUCUAACUACAGUACUUACAAUUUAAUAUCAACAGCAACACAACAAAUGACUGAUGAGUCUGCAACUCUUUACUAUAGACAUUGAAUACGUAUGUUGUUGAAAUAAUUAGUAUGUUAGAUCUAGAAGAUCCCAAUGUCAAUACUAUAUAUAAUACAUACGUGUGUCGGUAUGUGUAUACUUCAUUUAAAAAAAAUCCAUGCGUUUAACUUCUUUUUAGAAAAUAAUUCCCACAUUUUUCAUGGAUAUAUUAUAUUCCUUAAGAACUUUGUUUUAAAAUUCAAACUAUUUAUAACCUAAAAAAGCCUGUAAGUCCCAACUUCGAAGGGUUUGUAUCAGUUUCUUUUGAUCUGAAAAUGUGGAAAGACGCGUUCGGGACGCUUUGUCAAUGGUUAGAUAAAAACCUCAUUUGACAUAUGAUCUAUCAACUUAUCCAUCAUACUCACAGUUUUGAAAUCAAAAGUCUUUUUCCUCUCAGACUUCCAAUAAAAAAUAUCUUCUUUUACUUUCACAAAGACUUUUGCUUUUUUGUUCUUGUUCACGAAAAUAUACAAAAUGUUACUUUUUCAAGAUUCAUAUUAUGAAUGUCAAUAUGAAGAUAUAUUUCAUCAUACUCGGCCAUAAAUAUAAAAAUAUUUGUGACUAUCAUAAGUCAAAAAGUUGUCUCUUUCUAUUUUUCUUCUCAAAAUUAUUUAUCAGAACCAAUCAUGUUAUUAAGAGAGCAAUGUUACACAUAUAUCAUAUAUGAUAUGCAUUUUACAUAUUUGUUUUAGAUUUUUUUUUUGUUCUAACAAUAAGAUAAUAGUCACAACUCUCACCUAGUUAAACUUUAAUUUUCUAGUAUGAUCAAUCAUAUUUAUUAAGAGAGCAAUGAUACAAAUAUUAUGAGAUUUAAGCUAAAAUAGAUGAACUGUUUGCCAUUUUUAAGUUUGGUAAAACUACGAAAACAUUAGGACUGUAUCAAAAGAAAAAAGCACACGUUUGCUCCUAAAAAUGCGACUGUAUCUAUUUCUGACAAAAUAGUGCAAAGCUCUGCUCCCAAGACUUUGGAAGUUCUCUUCCACAUUGACUCACCAAACAUUCUCACACACAUAAGCCAUCCACUUUGCUUUUCCUUAUUAGGUGACCAUUACAUAGUCUUCUCUUAUCGGAAAUAAGUAGUUGGUAAUGUGUAAGACAUUAACAUUUUCAUUUUUAAUCACAAUUUCACGUACGUAGGACCACGCUCGAGACGAUUUCCUAUACUAAAAUUAGUGAAAUCAUUUUUUUAAUAAACACACAAGUAGGAUAAUACAACUAACUUCUAUUAUCACAAUUCACAAGCUCAUUUUACUUAUGUAAAUUUUAUUUUUGUGCAUAGCUUAAAUUCAAUAUAAGAAAGAAACACAACAUUUCAGUAGCGACAAGAGCGGUUAAUCUAAAUGGGUGUAGUUGGUGAAUCAGCAUUUCAAGUAGUUCGAACCAGAAAGUGUUAUGAACUCGCCAGCUUCUGAGGAAACUAACAGUAUAUUAACAACAAAAGAGUAUAAACCUUUGUCCCUACCAAAUAAACCUUUGGACACCAUUCUCAUAGCUCCACUUGAAUGGUCUAAACAAGAACAUUGCCAUUGUAAACACAUUGAUACAGACCAAAAUCGUUCCAUUGAGAAGCCAAGUGAUGCAACCGCUGCUUCUGACACAUGAGUGAAGCAUGAAGAUAUAAAACGGUACGGUGUAAUAUAUGAACUCGAUCAAUGGCGAACAAGUACAGCACAUGUAGCUAAGAAAUAGACCAACACCCAGAUCUUCCUUCGGGUUUUUGCUGUCGGAUUGAGACAGAACCAAAAUCACAUUCACUAUGCAAAAAAAUAAAUACAUCAAAUGAAAAAUAUUGUGAGAAAAAUUCAAAUUGGAAAAAGAAAAAACAAACCGAGUUAUUGAAAAUUAGUUCUUCAAAGGAUUCAACUCAUGAAAAAAUAAUAACAAUAUUAACAUGGACGAUCUCAACUUUGUCCAAUAAAGGCGCUCUGUUGAGAUGAGAAUCGGAAGCAGAUUCAUUCGUGGGAUCAUCAACUUGGUCCGAUAAAGGCUCUAUGUUGAGAUGAGAAACACAACUUGGUCCCUCCUCUUUCUAUGCAAGGAUAAGCACAAGAUAAUAUAUGCACAAGAUAAGCACAAGGAUAAGUCCUUGAGAGUUGUGACUAUUUUGUUAACCAGGAGUAGAAGUAAACCGGGACUAGCAUGUAUUUCAUCAACCAAUGAGCAUUGAUAGUUUUCCUCCAAAGAUAGGAAGGAUAGUGGCAGUUAUCAGCCAGAAGAUAAGAUGUUUUGGUUUCAACGAGUAUAAAACGUUCAAUCCACUUUUAUUGGGAAAUUUAUGCAAGCCUACAAGAGAGAAGAAGCCCAUCAUCCUUAGCAUAUACAUACAUAUAAAUAAGAAUAAGAACUAUUGAAGAAGAAACUUAAAACAUACAAAAGGGUCACAUUAAAUUUUGAUCUAUCAUUUCCCCCAAAUGCAUAUGUUAAAGACAAUUAAUCAUCAGCUUUUUCCUGUUCGAUUUCAAUAGAAGAUUCAUGUGUUGCGCUGAGUUUCCAAAAGUAAAAUCCCUGAUAAUCUGAAAAUGAAAAUUGUUUAAAUUAAGAAUAUUUUCAGAUUCCAUUACAAAACCGUCAGAGGCAAAGAACAUGAAAGCCAAAAAUAUUACUACUUCAGACACGAUUGGAAGGAAGCACAUGUUCAUUAUAGAAAAAAAAAAGAAAAAAAGAAAUUCAACUUAGGAUCUAACUAGAGCCGGCCCUUGGGCCAAGCGGAUGAAGCCCAUGCUUCCGGCCGCCUCUAAUUAUAUAUAAAAUCGGCCACAAAAUUCAUAAAGGUAUUUGUAGCCUAGUGGUUCAUUUGUUUGAAAUAAGAUCUCUCUGGCCCAACCCAUGUUUGAAUGUUUACCGAUGCAUUUUAGGGCGGCCAAUUUUUUUUUUACUUUGCUUCUAGUCUCAAGACCGGCUCUGAUCUAACCCCAGCAACUAUGACAAGAACUAGGUUAUGAAACUAGAAAUGGUCGUCAAAGAUCCAGCAGUCUUGACAUACAAAACUUGUUACGAGAGAUUGAUUCACUCACUGCUAAUUAAUUAGGUACGACAAUACAACUGUGUGGACUGUUGAGUGAAGUAAAGUGAAAAUCUUACUUUUGACAUUAACUUUCUCCUUUAAUCCGUAAACCUUUUGGAGGCAAGGACCCACCCCGUUUGUAACGGCUACUUGUCCAUUUUUUUAUUUAAUUUGGUCAAUUUCUCUCUCUCUCUCUCUCUCUCUCUCUCGACAAAACCAAAACCAAAACCAAAAGAGAUUUGCACCUUCCGUUCACCAUCACCAGCAGCUCUCCGCCGCCGGUGGCGGGUCUCUUCUCUUAUCAUUUUUUUUUUGCUCUUCUUCAUCAUUAGCUUCUCAUCUCCGACAUUGUUUGCUCUUGGUAGCUUUUCUGGCCUCGAAGCCUUUUCCCGGCCAGAUUUGCUGGCGGAUGAAGCUGGGACCUGCGGCGAGGAGAUGAAGCUGAACGGUGAGGUUGAGCUUCAAGUCUUCCUCUGAUUCUUCUCAGCUCAGCUACCUCGCUUUCCGUUCCAAGCUUCUAGAUCCGUCGGAGGCAGGGAGCUCCAUUCUCUGCUUCUCAGAGCUGUCCGUCUUGUGGGUCCAUCAUGUUGAUUUUGACUGUCCAAGGAAGAAAUUUCUUUUUGAGGUCUUUCUCUCGAGCGGUGGAGAAACCGUUUGCAUCGGCGGCGGUCUAAACGCCACAACCCCUAGUGGCCGAUUCGAAUUGGAGCAGUUCAUCGAGAAUCAUUACAGGCAGAGACUGUUUCAAAGGAAAGUGGCAAAGAUGAAGACGAGAACCAGAUGAUGAGGAAUGGCGAGUCUGUAUUGUUUGGCAAAUGUUCCUUUUGGUGAGAGUUCUUUGGUCUGUGGUACUUCGGAGGCAGAGACGGGCAGUGGUCGUUCAUAUGCGGGUAUGGCUCCAUAGGGUUGUAAUCUGGAAGCUCCAUUCUGUAUUUCUCAAGUAUUUGACAGUACGGAAGCUUCACAUCGUCGUUGUCGUUGCACCAUGUGGGCAAACGGCUUGCAUUGUUCUCGAAAAACUUGAGCAUGUAAGCAUCUUUAAUCUGCAAUAAUGGAUUCCCUUGUUCA
Molecule: long non-coding RNA, 4989 nt
Organism: Brassica rapa (field mustard)
Lineage: Eukaryota; Viridiplantae; Streptophyta; Magnoliopsida; Brassicales; Brassicaceae
Source: RefSeq, a predicted model, not a curated record